This 253-nucleotide ribosomal RNA is filed under the name uncultured bacterium. RNAcentral describes it as "partial 16S ribosomal RNA". It matches the Rfam family "Bacterial small subunit ribosomal RNA", at positions 524 to 776 of the family's 1533-position model. The record is from RNAcentral.
UACGUAGGGGGCAAGCGUUGUCCGGAUUUAUUGGGCGUAAAGAGCGUGUAGGCGGCCAGACAGGUCCGUUGUGAAAACUGGAGGCUCAACCUCCAGACGUCGAUGGAAACCGUCUGGCUAGAGUCCGGAAGAGGAGAGUGGAAUUCCUGGUGUAGCGGUGAAAUGCGCAGAUAUCAGGAAGAACACCCGUGGCGAAAGCGGCUCUCUGGGACGGUACUGACGCUGAGGCGCGAAAGCGUGGGGAGCGAACAGG